CUGAGUGCGGGCCCUCUGGGUCCAACCUCCCACCCGUGUCUAUUGUACCUUGUUGCUUCGGCGGGCCCGCCGUCAGGCCGCCGGGGGCAUCUGCCCCCGGGCCCGCGCCCGCCGAAGACCCAACAUGAACACUGUUCUGAAAGCUUGCAGUCUGAGUUGAUUAUCAUAAUCAGUUA
Molecule: unclassified non-coding RNA, 176 nt
Filed under: uncultured Ascomycota
Lineage: Eukaryota; Fungi; Ascomycota
Description: sequence contains ITS1
Source: RNAcentral